AGUCUGGGAUGAGAAACAGCCAAAUCUGAGGACCGGAAGAUAAAACAAUCUUCCAGGUAUAUGCAGUAGUAUGCAGUUUUGAGA
Molecule: small nucleolar RNA, 84 nt
Filed under: Numida meleagris (helmeted guineafowl)
Lineage: Eukaryota; Metazoa; Chordata; Aves; Galliformes; Numididae
Description: Small nucleolar RNA U2-19 (ENSNMEG00000005780.1)
Rfam family: Small nucleolar RNA U2-19
About the family: U2-19 is a member of the C/D class of snoRNA which contain the C (UGAUGA) and D (CUGA) box motifs.
Source: RNAcentral